Molecule: ribosomal RNA, 403 nt
Filed under: Verrucomicrobiota bacterium
Lineage: Bacteria; Pseudomonadati; Verrucomicrobiota
Description: Verrucomicrobia bacterium partial 16S ribosomal RNA
Rfam family: Bacterial small subunit ribosomal RNA
Source: RNAcentral
UGGGGAAUAUUGCACAAUGGGGGAAACCCUGAUGCAGCGACGCCGCGUGAGCGAAGAAGGUUUUCGAAUCGUAAAGCUCUGUCCUAUGAGAAGAUAAUGACGGUAUCAUAGGAGGAAGCCCCGGCUAAAUACGUGCCAGCAGCCGCGGUAAUACGUAUGGGGCGAGCGUUGUCCGGAAUUAUUGGGCGUAAAGGGUACGUAGGCGGUCUAUUAAGUCAGGUGUGAAAGCGUGAGGCUUAACCUCAUUAAGCACUUGAAACUGAUAGACUUGAGUGAAGGAGAGGAAAGUGGAAUUCCUCGUGUAGCGGUGAAAUGCGUAGAUAUUAGGAGGAAUACCGGUGGCGAAGGCGACUUUCUGGACUUUUACUGACGCUCAGGUACGAAAGCGUGGGGAGCAAACAGG